CAGCCGCCACGGUAAUACGAAGGGGGCUAGCGUUGUUCGGAAUCACUGGGCGUAAAGGGUGCGUAGGCGGAUUCUUAAGUCAGGGGUGAAAUCCCGAGGCUCAACCUCGGAACUGCCUUUGAUACUGGGGAUCUUGAGUCCGGAAGAGGUGAGUGGAACUGCGAGUGUAGAGGUGAAAUUCGUAGAUAUUCGCAAGAACACCGGUGGCGAAGGCGACUCUCUGGUCUGUAACUGACGCUGAGGAGCGAAAGCGUGGGGAGCGAACAGGAUUAGAUACCCGUGUAGUCCCUGUCUCUUAUAC
RNAcentral lists this ribosomal RNA (301 nucleotides) under uncultured bacterium. RNAcentral's name for it is "partial 16S ribosomal RNA". It matches the Rfam family "Bacterial small subunit ribosomal RNA", at positions 509 to 807 of the family's 1533-position model. The record is from RNAcentral.